This 492-nucleotide ribosomal RNA is filed under the name uncultured bacterium. Its description in RNAcentral is "partial 16S ribosomal RNA". It matches the Rfam family "Bacterial small subunit ribosomal RNA", at positions 29 to 507 of the family's 1533-position model. The record is from RNAcentral.
AGUGAACGCUGGCGGUAGGCCUAACACAUGCAAGUCGAACGGCAGCACAGUAAGAGCUUGCUCUUACGGGUGGCGAGUGGCGGACGGGUGAGGAAUACAUCGGAAUCUACUUUUUCGUGGGGGAUAACGUAGGGAAACUUACGCUAAUACCGCAUAUGACCUACGGGUGAAAGCAGGAGAUCUUCGGACCUUGCGCGAUUGAAUGAGCCGAUGUCGGAUUAGCUAGUUGGCGGGGUAAAGGCCCACCAAGGCGACGAUCCGUAGCUGGUCUGAGAGGAUGAUCAGCCACACUGGAACUGAGACACGGUCCAGACUCCUACGGGAGGCAGCAGUGGGGAAUAUUGGACAAUGGGCGCAAGCCUGAUCCAGCCAUACCGCGUGGGUGAAGAAGGCCUUCGGGUUGUAAAGCCCUUUUGUUGGGAAGGAAAAGCAGCAGGUUAAUACCCCGCUGUUCUGACGGUACCCAAAGAAUAAGCACCGGCUAACUUCGUG